Long non-coding RNA from Penaeus indicus, 605 nucleotides. RefSeq lists it as uncharacterized. Lineage: Eukaryota; Metazoa; Arthropoda; Malacostraca; Decapoda; Penaeidae. The record is from RefSeq and is a predicted model, not a curated record. The transcript has 2 exons.
GCUUCAGAUCGCACCUCACCUGCCCGCGACAACAUUCUGCCUGUGCCACCAUGAAGCUGACUGUCCUCUUUGUUGUGGCUAUGGCCCUGUAUGGCCUUGGUUCGGCUCGCGCCAUUCCCAAGCUUUCCACCGUGGCCGACCUUCUUCCGUGGACAGUCCUUUCUCCGUGGCCAACCGUUCUUCCGUGGCCAACCCUUUCUUCGUUGCGAGACCUUCCGCGGCCAACCCUUAUUCCGUGGCCGAAUCUCAUCCCGGUGGACGACCCUUAGGUGUGCCUUCUUCUGAGCCUGAGAAUCCACACCUCUUGGGAGACUGUAUUUGUAUUAUAAUAUGUAUAAAUUGUUAACUUGCUGUCAAUGCUGUAGUUGAAAAACGACCCAUGUCUAAGACUUAUACAAAUGAAAUCAAAUAUCUUAUUAGCAUAGAAAAUCAAGAAAUGGACAGGAGAUGCAAGUAGAGAGAAAACAGAUAUCCAAAUAUGGAACAUCAGUAAGAGCAAUAAAGUAUAAAUCAACCUUGGAAAUCUACACAAACCUGCAAAUGAUACGAAACGGAUGCAGGAAUACUCACUGAAUUAAACUGCAACAAUAAGCCUAUUUGGAAAA